RNAcentral lists this ribosomal RNA (106 nucleotides) under uncultured bacterium. RNAcentral describes it as "partial 16S ribosomal RNA". It matches the Rfam family "Bacterial small subunit ribosomal RNA", at positions 1366 to 1482 of the family's 1533-position model. The record is from RNAcentral.
UAACGUUCCCGGGCCUUGUACACACCGCCCGUCACACCAUGGGAGUCGAUUGCUCCAGAAGUCAUCCCACCAAGGGGUGCCCAAGGAGUGGUCGGUAACUGGGGUG